CCUUGGAUUUUCAUCAGGAAAGCUCCACUAAGUGUCCCAUAUCUUAAGUAUCAACCUUCUAAGAGAAUGGAAUAGGAGUUAGGAGUUUCUAUUUCAUGCUUUAAGUGUUUGUCAAAGCACAUUAAUGAGGCUCCAAAGUCCUGGUUCGUGGUUCUCAACAUGGGAGUCAUGCUGUGCCAGAUUGGGAAUCAAAGACUCUGAGUUUGAAUCUCGACUCUGCCACUUACAACCUAAAUGACCUUGGAUGAGGAAACUGAUGCUAUAAGAAAGUAAGUGGAUUCUUCAUACAUCAGAAGCAGGCUUCAAAUCCAAGUCUUCCUGACUAAAAGUUCAGCAUUUCAUCCACAAUGCCAAGAGUCACACUAUGUUAAAACACAGUCAAAUAAAAAGCAUUCAUUAAGCACCUGUUAGGCACCAGAGCACGGGACAAUGUACUAGCAAUACAAAGAAAGGCAAAAAUCCCCAGUGCAUAUUCUCAAGGAGCUCAUGGUUUAAUGAGGAAACAACUCCACACAUCCACACAUCCAGGACACAUAGAGAGUGGAGGAAAAGGAAGGCACUAGGAUUAGGGAAGACCUCCCACAGAAGGCAGGCUUUGAGCUGAGUCAUGAAGGAAGGUGUGGAAAUAAGGAGGCAGUGGGAAGAAAAAAGAGCAUUCUAGGCAUUGGAAAAGACCCAGAUUUGGGAGGUGAUGUCACAUGCAAAGAACAGCAAGAAACACAGCCCCAUCUCUAAGACAUUAUGGGGAAAGAUGGCAGAAGUGUCUAAGCAAUAUUGCUUAUGAAAGAAUGCAUCAGAGGAGAAAAUGAGCCUGCAGUGGCUUGUGGUGAGGUCUAGCUGAGUCAUGUCUUCCCAUGAGGAUUUGUAGAUAAAACCAGAAAGAAAAACAACAGGCUUUUCAGAAUGGUCUGUCUUCUUCCACACAGCUGGACUCAGGAUAGAGUACCUUGACAAUUGUCAGAGCACAUCAAAAUGGAGGGGGCUCAAAAAUUUGACCGUGCUCCCCACCAUGCUAAAUGCCUCGUUAGCAAAGAAUAACAAGUACCUGUGCUUCCCUGUAGUAACUCAUAACCCAUCCUGCACCACUGAAUGUAUCUUAUUAUUUUUCCUAUGCUAGUUUCAUAUCAUCAAUUUAAAAAUUAGUUUGAGGCGAUGUCUGCUAUUGUUUACCCUAGAGGACAAAAAUAACGUUUACACUUCUGUUCAUUUACCCUGUCAAAUAUGCUUUUUGGAUGAAUUAGAGCCAUCAACAAUGUGCUGCAGUCAUUAGAACCCUAAAUUUGGAGUUAGGAAGACUUGGGUUAAAAUUGUGACACUUACCAACUGUGUGACCUUAAACAA
Molecule: long non-coding RNA, 1341 nt
Organism: Dromiciops gliroides (monito del monte)
Lineage: Eukaryota; Metazoa; Chordata; Mammalia; Microbiotheria; Microbiotheriidae
Exons: 3
Source: RefSeq, a predicted model, not a curated record